RNAcentral lists this ribosomal RNA (1413 nucleotides) under Triticum aestivum (bread wheat). RNAcentral describes it as "partial small subunit ribosomal RNA". The record is from RNAcentral. Lineage: Eukaryota; Viridiplantae; Streptophyta; Magnoliopsida; Poales; Poaceae.
AUGGAGCCGCCGGCGCCGCCGCCCCUACCGCCGCCGCAGCUGCACCUGCGGGUCCUGGACAGCGUCAGGCUCUUCCCGGCGCCGCAGCCUCCGGCGUCGUCGCUGCCGCUCUCCGGCCUCGACGCCGACCGCAACGCGCUCGACGUCUCCUUCCGCACCGUCCGCUUCUUCCCCGCCCACCCGGUCUCCCUCGACCCGCUCGACGUCCUCCAGGCCGCCUUCGCCGACGCGCUCGGCCUCUUCCCGCAGCUCGCCGGCUCCCUCCUCCGCGACGACGGCCGCGUCGUGCUCACCGGGGCCGGCGAGGUCGACGCUGUGACCCUCGUCCUCGCGGCGACGGACCUGUCGGUGGCCGACGUCGACGCGGACAGGCCGGACUCGCCGCUGCUCGACCGCCUCGCGCCGGGCGACGGCGACGGCGGGCCGGCAGCGCUUGCGCUCCAGGUCACGCGGUUCACGUGCGGCGGCGUCGCGCUGGGGAUGCGGGUGGCGCACGCGCUCUGCGACGGCGCGGGGUCCACCAAGUUCCUCGUCGCCGCCGCGCGGUUCGCGCGGGGGCUGGAGCCGGAGGCCGCGGCGGCGCCGGUGUGGAACCGCCGGGAGCUUCUGGGCCCCAGGGACCCGCCGCGGGUGGUGACGCCGUUCGACGCCGUCCUCUCGACCGACGACGACGCCGCGCGGCUCGGCCCGUACGGCGCGGCGAGCGACGGACAGGGACACGAGCGGCUCGCGAGGGAGUGCUUCCACGUCAGCGACGCGCGCGUGGAGGCGCUCAGGGCGCGGCUCGCCGCGGACGCCGGCGUCAAGUUCACGACCUUCGAGGUUCUCGCCGCCUUCAUCUGGCGCGCCAAGGUGAAGGCCAACCAAACCGCCCCCGACGAGACCGUGAAGAUGGUGUACUCCAUGAACAUCAGCGCGCUCCUCGACCCGCCGCUGCCAGAGGGGUACUGGGGCAACGUGUGCGUGCCGGUGUACGUGGCGCUCGCGGCCGGCGACCUCGUCGGGCGGCCGCUGGCGGAGACGGCAUCCCUGGUCAGGAAGAGCAAGCGGGGGGUGGACGAGGAGUACGUGCGGUCCUACGUCGACCUCCAGGAGCUGCGGCGCGGGGAGGGCGGCGUCACGGCGGGGCGGCGCGGCGUGAGCGCGUUCACGGACUGGCGGCGGCUGGGGCACUCGGAGGUGGACUUCGGGUGGGGCGGGCCCGACGCCGUGCUGCCGCUCUCGUGGCGGCUGCUCGGGAGCACGCAGCCGUGCUUCCUGCUGCCCUACGGCGCCGGGGACAAGAGGCGGCGGCGAGGGUUCAAGGUGUUCGUCGCGGUGCCGGAGGAGGCGGUGCCCCGGUUCAGAGAGGAGAUGGAGGAGAUACUGUGGCAGCAUGAGGACAGUGACUGCACUUCAGUGGGGAAACUGUAA